This 723-nucleotide unclassified non-coding RNA is filed under the name Hevea brasiliensis (rubber tree). Lineage: Eukaryota; Viridiplantae; Streptophyta; Magnoliopsida; Malpighiales; Euphorbiaceae. The record is from RNAcentral.
UUCAAAUAUGACCUUUUUAAGGAAAUAAUAUAUAAAAUUGUUUUAAGAACCAAUAACCGAAUCGGAAUUAUACCGAAUCGAACUGGAAUCGAAGAACUGAAAAUCAUACCAAAUUGGAACCGAAACAACGAAGAACUGAAUUGGAAUCGUACUGAAAAUUCGGUUCAGUUUCAAUUCCUAAGCAAACCCCAAACUGAACUAGAACCGUACACCCAUAUACUUAUGAAUGUGUUUUCCAUUGUUGUAAUCAUGAAAUUCCAAUCGGCUUGUGUUGAGGACUUGAGGCCAAUGAUCUCAAGUGUGCUAAAUAGGAAUAUGCUUUUUGAAGAAUUUCUUUGGUGCAUUUUAAAUAGUAGCAUCGUAUAUUUUGCUUGAAACAAGCUUUGCUAGUUCUAGUUUUAGGUGUUGUUAUGUUAUUUUAAUGUAAGAUUAUCUUUACGUAUUGCAUUUUAAGCUAUGGCCUAAUAUAGGAUAAAUUUGACUUAGAACACUUCGGGAAAAACCCAUUGACCCCUUAUACUUUUAAUUGCACAAUUAUACCCCUUUUUUUUAUUUUUGUAAUAUAUAGGCCCUUACAGCUCAUAUGUAUAGCGUGUAAUUACACUCACGCUGAUGUGGAAAGAAAAUCUAACAUUGCUUCUAUUUGACUCUUUUGACUUCUUUUACUACCAUCUCGCUUCCACCUGCUGCCCAGGGUAGGAAGACUCAAAAAAAAAAAAAAAA